Molecule: long non-coding RNA, 829 nt
Organism: Zea mays
Lineage: Eukaryota; Viridiplantae; Streptophyta; Magnoliopsida; Poales; Poaceae
Exons: 3
Source: RefSeq, a predicted model, not a curated record
ACCGGUGCAAUAUGGGUGGAUGUAUCCAGUGGAAAGAAGGUUGUAUACAUUGAAACGUUUUGUAAGAAAUAUGGCUAGACCUGAAGGAUCCAUUGCAGAAGCAUAUGUUGCUAAUGAGUGCUUGACAGCUUGCUCAAGGUACUUCAAUGAUGUUGACACACGACACAAUCGGGAGGGUAGGAACAAAGAGCGUGUUGAUUUGAGUAGAGGCAAAUUUUAUGUUUUUCAGCAUGCAGUUGAACUUCUUGGAGCACCAAGAAUUACAUACCUCCAAGAUGAUUAUGAUAAGAUGGUUUGGUAUGUACUAAACAAUUGUUCGGAGGUCGAGCCAUAUAUAAAGAUGUAUAAGGAAGAGUUAGAGAAUGAAGGGAUUGUUAAUGUGGAAAAAAACCAUUCAGAAGCACUUUUCCUCAUGGUUUAAGAAGCAUAUUGCAAGUUUGUGUUUUCUCGAGGGAGAAGACAUUGAUGAUGACCUAUAUGCAUUGGCAUGCGAACCAGAUUUGCGAGUUCGAAUUUUUCUGCAUGUCUUGUUGAUGGUGUCCGGUACCACACCAUUGACCGUGAGAGCAAUAGAAGAACCCAAAACAGUGGAGUCAUGGUUGAGGGCACUCAUAAUAAUGAAUGCAUUGAUUUUUAUGGCUGCUUAAAAGAAAUUAUCGAGUUGCAGUAUAACUCAGAUUUGAUGGAGCAUCAGACAGUUGUUCUUUUCCGGUGUGAUUGGUUUGACACUCAUAGCAAGAAAGUUAGUAUGAAAUAUGAUGGAUAUUUUAGAAGCAUAAACCAUAGUAGUUGUUGGUACAAAAAUGAUACUUUUAUUUUAACAGCACAA